This 253-nucleotide ribosomal RNA is filed under the name uncultured bacterium. RNAcentral's name for it is "partial 16S ribosomal RNA". It matches the Rfam family "Bacterial small subunit ribosomal RNA", at positions 524 to 776 of the family's 1533-position model. The record is from RNAcentral.
UACGGAGGGUGCAAGCGUUGUCCGGAAUCACUGGGCGUAAAGGGCGUGUAGGCGGCUCAUGAAGGCUGUGGUGAAAGUCCGGGGCUCAACCUCGGAUCGGCCGUGGCGACUCGUGGGCUGGAGCACUGUAGAGGCGGGUGGAAUUCCGGGUGUAGCGGUGGAAUGCGUAGAGAUCCGGAAGAACACCAGUGGCGAAGGCGGCCCGCUGGGCAGUGGCUGACGCUGAGACGCGAAAGCGUGGGGAGCAAACAGG